This 487-nucleotide ribosomal RNA is filed under the name uncultured Turicibacter sp. RNAcentral's name for it is "bacterial SSU rRNA". It matches the Rfam family "Bacterial small subunit ribosomal RNA", at positions 8 to 507 of the family's 1533-position model. Lineage: Bacteria; Bacillati; Bacillota; Erysipelotrichia; Erysipelotrichales; Turicibacteraceae. The record is from RNAcentral.
AGAGUUUGAUCCUGGCUCAGGAUGAACGCUGGCGGCGUGCCUAAUACAUGCAAGUCGAGCGAACCACUUCGGUGGGAAGCGGCGAACGGGUGAGUAACACGUAGGUGAUCUGCCCAUCAGACGGGGACAACGAUUGGAAACGAUCGCUAAUACCGGAUAGGACGAAAGUUUAAAGAUGCUCCUGGCAUCACUGAUGGAUGAGCCUGCGGCGCAUUAGCUAGUUGGUGGGGUAAAGGCCUACCAAGGCGACGAUGCGUAGCCGACCUGAGAGGGUGAACGGCCACACUGGGACUGAGACACGGCCCAGACUCCUACGGGAGGCAGCAGUAGGGAAUCUUCGGCAAUGGGCGAAAGCCUGACCGAGCAACGCCGCGUGAAUGAAGAAGGCCUUCGGGCUGUAAAAUUCUGUUAUAAGGGAAGAAAGGUGAUAGGAGGAAAUGACUAUCAAUUGACGGUACCUUAUGAGAAAGCCACGGCUAACUACGUG